GGGUUGUGAGGUUAAGCGACUAAGCGUACACGGUGGAUGCCCUGGCAGUCAGAGGCGAUGAAGGACGUGCUAAUCUGCGAUAAGCGUCGGUAAGGUGAUAUGAACCGUUAUAACCGGCGAUUUCCGAAUGGGGAAACCCAGUGUGAUUCGUCACACUAUCAUUAACUGAAUCCAUAGGUUAAUGAGGCGAACCGGGGGAACUGAAACAUCUAAGUACCCCGAGGAAAAGAAAUCAACCGAGAUUCCCCCAGUAGCGGCGAGCGAACGGGGAGCAGCCCAGAGCCUGAAUCAGUGUGUGUGUUAGUGGAAGCGUCUGGAAAGGCGCGCGAUACAGGGUGACAGCCCCGUACACAAAAAUGCACAUACUGUGAGCUCGAUGAGUAGGGCGGGACACGUGGUAUCCUGUCUGAAUAUGGGGGGACCAUCCUCCAAGGCUAAAUACUCCUGACUGACCGAUAGUGAACCAGUACCGUGAGGGAAAGGCGAAAAGAACCCCGGCGAGGGGAGUGAAAAAGAACCUGAAACCGUGUACGUACAAGCAGUGGGAGCACAGAGCAAUCUGUGUGACUGCGUACCUUUUGUAUAAUGGGUCAGCGACUUAUAUUCUGUAGCAAGGUUAACCGAAUAGGGGAGCCGAAGGGAAACCGAGUCUUAACUGGGCGUUAAGUUGCAGGGUAUAGACCCGAAACCCGGUGAUCUAGCCAUGGGCAGGUUGAAGGUUGGGUAACACUAACUGGAGGACCGAACCGACUAAUGUUGAAAAAUUAGCGGAUGACUUGUGGCUGGGGGUGAAAGGCCAAUCAAACCGGGAGAUAGCUGGUUCUCCCCGAAAGCUAUUUAGGUAGCGCCUCGUGAAUUCAUCUCCGGGGGUAGAGCACUGUUUCGGCAAGGGGGUCAUCCCGACUUACCAACCCGAUGCAAACUGCGAAUACCGGAGAAUGUUAUCACGGGAGACACACGGCGGGUGCUAACGUCCGUCGUGAAGAGGGAAACAACCCAGACCGCCAGCUAAGGUCCCAAAGUCAUGGUUAAGUGGGAAACGAUGUGGGAAGGCCCAGACAGCCAGGAUGUUGGCUUAGAAGCAGCCAUCAUUUAAAGAAAGCGUAAUAGCUCACUGGUCGAGUCGGCCUGCGCGGAAGAUGUAACGGGGCUAAACCAUGCACCGAAGCUGCGGCAGCGACGCUGAUGCGUUGUUGGGUAGGGGAGCGUUCUGUAAGCCUGUGAAGGUGU
RNAcentral lists this ribosomal RNA (1230 nucleotides) under Escherichia coli. RNAcentral describes it as "partial 23S ribosomal RNA". It matches the Rfam family "Bacterial large subunit ribosomal RNA", at positions 1 to 1259 of the family's 2925-position model. Lineage: Bacteria; Pseudomonadati; Pseudomonadota; Gammaproteobacteria; Enterobacterales; Enterobacteriaceae. The record is from RNAcentral.